Molecule: ribosomal RNA, 865 nt
Filed under: uncultured bacterium
Lineage: Bacteria
Description: bacterial SSU rRNA
Rfam family: Bacterial small subunit ribosomal RNA
Source: RNAcentral
UUCCAGAGUUUGAUCCUGGCUCAGAUUGAACGCUGGCGGCAGGCCUAACACAUGCAAGUCGAACGGUAACAGGUAGCAGCUUGCUGCUUCGCUGACGAGUGGCGGACGGGUGAGUAAUGUCUGGGGAUCUGCCUGAUGGAGGGGGAUAACUACUGGAAACGGUAGCUAAUACCGCAUAACGUCGCAAGACCAAAGAGGGGGACCUUCGGGCCUCUUGCCAUCAGAUGAACCCAGAUGGGAUUAGCUAGUAGGUGGGGUAACGGCUCACCUAGGCGACGAUCCCUAGCUGGUCUGAGAGGAUGACCAGCCACACUGGAACUGAGACACGGUCCAGACUCCUACGGGAGGCAGCAGUGGGGAAUAUUGCACAAUGGGCGCAAGCCUGAUGCAGCCAUGCCGCGUGUAUGAAGAAGGCCUUCGGGUUGUAAAGUACUUUCAGCGGGGAGGAAGGGGAAGUGGUUAAUAACCAUUUUCAUUGACGUUACCCGCAGAAGAAGCACCGGCUAACUCCGUGCCAGCGGCCGCGGUAAUACGGAGGGUGCAAGCGUUAAUCGGAAUUACUGGGCGUAAAGCGCACGCAGGCGGUCUGUCAAGUCGGAUGUGAAAUCCCCGGGCUCAACCUGGGAACUGCAUCCGAAACUGGCAGGCUUGAGUCUUGUAGAGGGGGUAGAAUUCCAGGUGUAGCGGUGAAAUGCGUAGAGAUCUGGAGGAAUACCGGUGGCGAAGGCGGCCCCCUGGACAAAGACUGACGCUCAGGUGCGAAAGCGUGGGGAGCAAACAGGAUUAGAUACCCUGGUAGUCCACGCCGUAAACGAUGUCGACUUGGAGGUUGUGCCCUUGAGGCGUGGCUUCCGGAGCUAACGCG